RNAcentral lists this unclassified non-coding RNA (350 nucleotides) under uncultured fungus. RNAcentral's name for it is "partial contains small subunit ribosomal RNA, internal transcribed spacer 1, and 5.8S ribosomal RNA". The stretch from base 1 to 133 matches the Rfam family "Eukaryotic small subunit ribosomal RNA", at positions 1759 to 1831 of the family's 1831-position model. Lineage: Eukaryota; Fungi. The record is from RNAcentral.
UCAAACUUGGUCAUUUAGAGGAAGUAAAAGUCGUAACAAGGUUUCCGUAGGUGAGUAGUAGAUCAUUCAUCGACUUCAUUCUGUGAUCUUGUGCUAACUGUGAUUAAUAGGUGAACCUGCGGAAGGAUCAUUAAAGAGUUGGGUACCUUUUGGUACCUUCUCCCACCCAUUGUGUACCUAUUCUGUUGCUUUGACAGGUCGGUUAUACCCCCUGGUAUACCCCCGGCUUAGGUUGGAGUGUACCUGUCAGAGGUUUUAAACUCUUUUACUAUUGAAAAUCUGAGUUUACAAUCAAUUUAAAAACUUUCAACAACGGAUCUCUUGGUUCUGGCAUCGAUGAAGAACGCAGC